Molecule: ribosomal RNA, 433 nt
Filed under: uncultured bacterium
Lineage: Bacteria
Description: partial 16S ribosomal RNA
Rfam family: Bacterial small subunit ribosomal RNA
Source: RNAcentral
AACGAACGCUGGCGGCAUGCCUAACACAUGCAAGUCGAACGAGACCUUCGGGUCGAGUGGCGCACGGGUGAGUAACGCGUGGGAACCUGCCCUUAGGUUCGGAAUAACUCCCCGAAAGGGGGGCUAAUACCGGAUAAUGUCUUCGGACCAAAGAUUUGUCGCCUUUGGAUGGGCCCGCGUUGGAUUAGCUAGUUGGUAGGGUAAAAGCCUACCAAGGCGACGAUCCAUAGCUGGUCUGAGAGGAUGAUCAGCCACACUGGGACUGAGACACGGCCCAGACUCCUACGGGAGGCAGCAGUGGGGAAUAUUGGACAAUGGGCGAAAGCCUGAUCCAGCAAUGCCGCGUGAGUGAUGAAGGCCUUAGGGUUGUAAAGCUCUUUUACCCGGGAUGAUAAUGACAGUACCGGGAGAAUAAGCUCCGGCUAACUCCGUG